Molecule: ribosomal RNA, 210 nt
Filed under: Ruminococcus sp. AM54-14NS
Lineage: Bacteria; Bacillati; Bacillota; Clostridia; Eubacteriales; Oscillospiraceae
Description: partial 16S ribosomal RNA
Rfam family: Bacterial small subunit ribosomal RNA
Source: RNAcentral
AUCGCUAGUAAUCGCGGAUCAGAAUGCCGCGGUGAAUACGUUCCCGGGUCUUGUACACACCGCCCGUCACACCAUGGGAGUCAGUAACGCCCGAAGUCAGUGACCUAACUGCAAAGAAGGAGCUGCCGAAGGCGGGACCGAUGACUGGGGUGAAGUCGUAACAAGGUAGCCGUAUCGGAAGGUGCGGCUGGAUCACCUCCUUCUAAGGAA